This 7439-nucleotide long non-coding RNA is filed under the name Lactuca sativa (garden lettuce). RNAcentral describes it as "long non-coding RNA (LSAT_LNC004670)". The record is from RNAcentral. Lineage: Eukaryota; Viridiplantae; Streptophyta; Magnoliopsida; Asterales; Asteraceae.
UGCUUCCUUGGUCCCUUAAGCGAUUUAGAUUAUAGAUCUGGACCCUUGGAGGUCCAGAGUGUCCCUUUGCCUAAGCUAGUCGUGAAUCCAUGGGGGGGUUUUGGAUUGGAAUCCUUAUGCCUAAGGUCAAAUCACCAUUUAUGAGUCAUGGGGUGUGUUAUGAACACCAAGAUAAGGACUUUACGUGAUGAAUAAGCUUAGGAAGGCCAGAUCUAUGAAUUGUUGGAACGGAUCUGACCUCAGAAGCAAGUUUAAGUUGAUGCAUGGCAUGGACUCGCCGAGUCCGAUGAACAGACUCGGCGAGUAGCAUGAAGAUUGCCCUAAACCACUCAGUGAGUGGUCCUGCCGAGUCAUAGGUUGACUCAGUGAGUCAGGGCGAGUUAGAGAGGGUUGACAGGUGGACUGAGUCGAACUGGAACUCGCCGAGUUGUUCUUGAGACUCGGCGAGUUCAGUCGGGGUGGCCCCGCGAUUCUUACCAGGUGGAACUCGUCGAGUUAGGGGAAUACUUGACGUGUCAAAAGGGAAUCCUAGAGAGUUGGUGAAAACGUCUAGACUCGCCGAGUCGGCCUAGUGCACUCGCCGAGUCCGGUCAAAGUUAACCAUUGACCGUUGACCGUUGACCAGAGUUCACUAGUGUUGACUUGAUAGGGGUAGUCAACCCUAGUGGUAAAAGUGUUAACUAGAGACAUAUGAUUGUUAUAAGGGGAUUGUAGCUCGGAGGAUCGAGCGGGGGAUUCCAGGAUUUGCGAGCUAUCGAGAUUCACGAGGUGAGUCUUCUCACUAUACUAUACCCGAAAGGGUUUUGACUGUGUGACCGGAAGGUCGGAUAUGGUAUGACACAUAUGUGCUGUGCGUGAUAAGUUAAUUGUUAUAUGUGCCAUGUAUGAUAUGCUUGAUAUGGGCCGGAAGACAUUGUGUUAUGGGCCAGAAGGCGAAUAUGCUAUGGGCCGGAAGGCGUUGUAAUGUGGAUUGUAAGGUUGGCGUGGGUAGGACCGGAAGGUUUACCCAGUCGGGACGGAAGUCCCCUGAGACACAUGGACCGGAAGGUCAGGGCCUGGAAAGGCGUAUGUGCGUAGGUUGUAUUUUGGGGAACUCACUAAGCAUUUAUGCUUACAGUUGUUGUGAUAUGUGUUUCAGGUACCAGCGAGGACCGUGGGAAGGCGCCGGCGUGAUCUGUACACACUGAUGGAGGAUUUAUGAUCUUGGGAUUUAUAUGAUUUGUAUUAUGACAUGAUACAUUGGAUCUUUAUGCCUUAUUUUGGAUGGAAAUGCAUUUUUAAGAAAUGAAAAUUUUGUUUUAAAAUUUCCGUUGUUACAAGUUGGUAUCAGAGCCUUGGUUUGAGGGAUUCGGGUACACCUUUGGGCGUAACUGAACUCAAACCGAGGAUUUGAGGAAAAAUUUUCAAAAACAAAGGCAUAAAAUUUUUAUAAAGGAUUUUGUGGUAAACAAGAAUGAAGCAGUGUGUACGAUCAGCCAGCGCCCGAACGGUAAAAAUCCCCAAAAUACCCUCACUAUAUUGUGUUAUGAGAUAUGAUAUGAUAUGAUAUGAUAUGAUAUGAUAUGAUAUGAUAUGAUAUGCAUGCUAGAAGACUAGGUAUCCAUGAUAGGACUAGAGUGGCCUGAUUUGUGAUGCCUUAAUCUAGGGAAAAUCUGCUGCUAUGAGAUGCUUUGAGAGCGAGCAGGUAGUUAUUGCAUGGCAAGAGUAGAGUACUCAUGAUCCGGGGUUUGGGGAGGAGGACUUGGGAUGAAUGCUGAUGCGGUGUAGUCGGUAGUAUUGGGCCCGUACUACCGAAGACACCGGGUCAGUGGGCAACCCAAGUAAGAAUCCCUGGGUAUCGGAGACUGAGUAGGGUUGCGUUAUCGAGUGCGAUUAUGCUCGAUAGAGUCUCUGAUAUUUCUAUGUUGUAUUUCAGAGGCAUCAUGGUUGGACCACGCCACAGACCUAGUACGAGCAGUGUGAGUGACGAGGAGAUUCGUCAGAUGAUUCACGAGGAGGUGGCUGCAGCGAUCCGGGCUGAGAUUCCGGAGAUGUUUGGGUCUAUUAAGACCACUCUGAUGGAGACAUUUGAUGAGCGGUACGCCGCAUUGACUGAGGCGGCUGUCGCGGCAGCUACCACAGCUGUGGCCGCUUCCAGGCCUUAGGGAGGUGACUCGUUGCUGUUCCAGGAGUUUAGCAACACGAAGCCACCUGAGUUUGAUGGGAUGCAGGAUCCGAUCGCUGCGAUGAGGUGGAUUGCUGAUAUCGAGGGAUGCUUCUAUACUUGUUCAUGUCCGGAGCAUCUGAGGGUACGGUUCGCCUUGAACCAGCUCCGCCUAGGAGCAAAGGAUUGGUGGAAGUUCGUGACGACGAACUUCACUCUGGAAGAGGUUUCAGCUGUGACAUGGGAGAGGUUUACCACUAUGUUCAGAGACGAGUAAGUUCCCCCGGUGGAGAGGGAACGGUUGGUUCAGGAGUUCUUGACCCUCAAGCAGGGUAAUGAUUCUGUCACGGUGAUCACGCGGAAGUUUCAAGAGAGGGCGAUGUUCUACCAAGAGCAGGUGUCCACGGAGUAGGCUCGGAUAAGCCGGUAUUUGGGAGUGUUGAGGAGGGAUAUCCGAGAGUUCGUAUCGAACUCGUCAUAUCAGACUUUUGCUGAGCUUCAGGCGAAUGCCAGGAAGCGCGAGAUCGAGUUGGAGACCCAGGCUAGGGAGGAGGCCGAGUCUCAACGGGUGGAUCGGCGGCCGGCUCAGUCUCAACCGGCUGCCAAGCAGACUAAGUCCGCCGAUUCGAGGACGGGAGGCCAGAAGGGUCGCACUUGCAGAAAGUGCGACAAGGGUCACGAGGGGACAUGUCGAUCAAGUGCUUGCUACAAGUGUGGCAAGGAGGGGCACAUUGCUAGGGAUUGCCCCAAGGGGUUUAUGGUUUGCUUUCAUUGCAACCAGACCCGCCAUCGGAAGGCCGAGUGUCCUCAGCUUCGNGCCGAGUCUCAACGGGUGGAUCGGCGGCCGGCUCAGUCUCAACCGGCUGCCAAGCAGACUAAGUCCGCCGAUUCGAGGACGGGAGGCCAGAAGGGUCGCACUUGCAGAAAGUGCGACAAGGGUCACGAGGGGACAUGUCGAUCAAGUGCUUGCUACAAGUGUGGCAAGGAGGGGCACAUUGCUAGGGAUUGCCCCAAGGGGUUUAUGGUUUGCUUUCAUUGCAACCAGACCCGCCAUCGGAAGGCCGAGUGUCCUCAGCUUCGCCAGGGAUCUGCACCUGCUGCUAGGGUUGCUGAGACUCGACCAGUGAAGACCGAGGCCCCGAGGGCUCGUGGGAGAGCUUUCCAGUUGACCGCGGAGGAGGUCCGCGNCUGAUGUUGUGGCUGGUAUGUAUUCUUUCAUGUAAUUAUUAUUCUUUUAUGGGAUGUUAUGCUUAUUUCAUGUUUAUGCGUAGGUACUUUUCUUAUGAAUUCUAUACCUGCUUUAGUAUUAUUUGACUCGGGUGCGAGUUGGUCUUUUGUAUCUCUGGCCUUUAGUCGACAUAUUAGUGUUAGUCGUGAGGCGUUGAGUCGGCCUUUGAGAGUUUCCAUAGCUGACGUGAGAGUGAUUUGUGCCACGGAGGUUCUCCGGGGAUGCGNGAGUUGAUUCAGUUUCUUGAUAUGUUUUGAUACAGUUGUGAUACAGUUUUCCUCACAGUAUUUUACUAUGGUUUGAGAUACAUAGUGUGUGGUUUUAUGAGAUGAUACUCAGAUUUAUGAUUUUUGGUUAUAUUAAAAAUGAAAUUUUUGGGUCGUAUUUUUGGGUCGUUUCAGUACACGAUCGGGAUCAGCUUUUUGUUCGGCCGCUAGGGCGAGGCAGUGUCUACAGCAGGGCUGUAAGGGUUUUGUGGCGUAUGUGAUGGAUACGCGGGUGGCUUCCGAGAGGCCAAGAUCAGUUGAGGAGGUUCCGGUGGUGCGUGAGUUUCCAGAUGUUUUUCCCGAGGAGUUACCGGGUGUGCCUCCUGUGAGGCAAGUGGAGUUCAAUAUCGACNGCGCCUAUCGCUAAGGUGCCUUAUCGUCUUGCACCUCCAGAGAUGCAAGAGUUAUCCUCGCAGCUUCAGGAGCUGCUAGGGAAGGGGUUUAUUCGGCCGAGCAGCUCGCCAUGGGGAGUGCCUAUCCUGUUCGUCAAGAAGAAGGAUGGUUCACACCGGAUGUGCAUUGAUUACCGGGAGUUGAACAAGCUGACGGUCAAGAACAGUUACCCAUUGCCGAGGAUCGACGAUUUGUUCGAUCAGUUGCAGGGAGCAUCUUGGUUCUCCAAGAUCGAUUUGAGGUCUGGAUAUCAUCAGGUGAGAGUACAGGAUGAGGAAGUCCAGAAGACAGCGUUCAGGAUGCGUUAUGGGCAUUAUGAGUUUGUGGUGAUGCCUUUUGGGCUCACCAAUGGCCCGACUGUGUUCAUGGAUCUCAUGAACCGGGUAUGUAGGCCGAUGUUGGAUCGGUUGGUGAUUGUAUUUAUCGAUGACAUUCUGAUAUAUUCGAGAUCUAGGGAGCAGCAUGAGGAGCACUUGAGGGAGGUCCUUGGGGUCCUGAGAUCGGAGAAGCUUUAUGCAAAGUUCUCCAAGUGUGAUUUCUGGUUGUUGGAGGUCCAGUUCUUAGGACAUCGUGUUAACCAGGAAGGGAUACUGGUCAAUCCGGCCAAGGUUGAGGCGGUGAUGAGUUGGGAAGUGCCGAAGUCACCCUAUGAUAUCAGGAGUUUCCUAGGGUUGGCAUGGUAUUAUCGGAGAUUUAUCAAGGAUUUCUCCAAGAUCGCAGUGCCACUCACCAGAUUGACCCGGAAGGGUGUUGCUUUUUCAUGGGGUCCCAAGCAGGAGGCCUCCUUCGAGACACUUCGCCAAAGGUUGUGCGAAGCCCCGGUAUUGGCUCUCCCGGAAGGGAUGGAGGACUUCAUGGUAUAUUGUGAUGCAUCGAUUUUGGGGCUGGGAGCGGUGCUGAUGCAGAGAGGGCAUGUGAUAGCAUAUGCAUCGAGGCAGCUGAAGCCUCAUGAGACGAGAUAUCCCACCCAUGAUCUUGAGUUGGGGGCAGUAGUGUUCGCCCUCAAGAUUUGGCGUCACUACUUGUAUGGGGUUCGGUGUACGAUUUACACGGACCAUAAGAGUUUGAGGUACUUGAUGGAUCAGCCCAACCUAAAUAUGCGACAGAGAAGGUGGUUGGAUGUGGUCAAGGAUUAUGAUUGUGAGAUCCUGUACCACCCAGGCAAGGCUAAUGUGGUAGCCGAUGCGUUGAGCCGCAGGGCGGAGAGCACUCCACUGCGGGAUGUAUGUUUGAGAUUGACCGUGAUGACUCCGGUAUUAGAUGCCAUUCGUGGGGCACAGGCCGAGGCUGUGCAACCUGAGAUGCAGAAGAGGGAAUGGGUUAUUGGUUUAGUAUCGGGAUUCGUUACAGAUGGUAGAGGGCUUAUGACUUUUCAGGGUAGGAUUUGGGUACUAUUUGUGGGCGGUACACGUACCAUUUUGAUGGAGGAAGCGCAUCGAUCGAAAUUCUCGAUUCAUCCCGGGGCUACGAAGAUGUAUUUGGAUUUGAGAAAAGAGUAUUGGUGGCCCUGUAUGAAGAGAGACGUCGCGUGGUUUGUGGAGAGGUGCCUAACCUGCCGUAGGGUUAAGGCCGAGCACCAGAGGCCGGAUGGCAAGUUGCAGCCAUUGGAGGUUCCCGAGUGGAAGUGGGAACAGAUCACUAUGGAUUUCAUCAUAAAGUUGCCGAGGACUGCCAGAGGAGUUGAUGCAAUUUGGGUGAUUGUGGACAGGUUGACGAAGAGCGCCCAGUUCCUUGCCAUCAGUGAGAGUUCUUCAGCAGAGAAAUUGGCGGAGGUGUAUGUGAGGGAAGUAGUAUCUCGGCACGGGGUGCCGAUCUCGAUUGUUUCAGACCGUGAUGUGCGUUUCACUUCCAUAUUCUGGAAGAAAUUUCAUGAGGAGUUGGGUACUAAACUGCAUUUUAGUACCGCAUAUCAUCCCCAGACAGACGGUCAGAGUGAGCGGAAGAUUCAGUCGCUUGAGGACAUGCUCCGAGCAUGUGUGUUGGAUUUCGGGGGUAGUUGGGAUGCGUAUUUACCCUUGGCCGAGUUUUCCUACAACAACAGCCAUCAUUCAAGUAUUGGUAUUCCACCCUUUGAGCUGUUGUAUGGGAGGAGGUGUCGGACCCCCAUUUGUUGGGGAGAGGUUGGGUAGAGAGUAAUGGGCAGUACAGAGAUCGUGCUUCAAACAUCAGAGCAGAUUCAGCAGGUCAGACAGAGAUUGUUGACCGCUCAGAGCCGACAUAAGAGUUAUGCAGACAUACGCCGAUCCGAGCUUGAGUUCCAGGUCGGCGACCUUGUUCUCCUGAAGGUCUCUCCUUGGAAGGGAGUGAUUCGAUUCAGGAAGAGGGGCAAGUUGGGACCCCGUUAUAUUGGUCCAUUCCGUGUGAUUGCGAGGGUAGGCCAGGUAGCCUAUCGUUUGGAUUUGCCAGCAGAGUUGGAGCAGAUCCACGACACUUUUCAUGUGUCGCAGCUGAGGAAUUGUAUAGCCGAUGAGUCGGCAGUGGUUCCAUUAGAAGAUAUUCAGGUGGAUGCGAGCCUGAAUUAUGCCGAGAGACCAGUGGCCAUCAGAGAUCGGAAAAUCAAGGUUCUGAGGAACAAGGAGGUACCCCUGGUGUUGGUUCAGUGGCAACAUCGGAAGGGAUCAGAGAUGACCUGGGAGCCGGAGCGUGAAAUGCGUGAGUAGCAUCCGGAGCUAUUUUCAUAGAGAGACUUCGAGGGCGAAGUCUAGUUCUAGUGGGGGAGAGUUGUAACAGCCCGGAUUUCCAGGUAUAUUUUAUGCUUAUGAUUUUGAUGUUUUGUGAGGGGACUCGGCAAGUUGGAGCUCUAGCUCGCCGAGUAGGAUCGCGGUUCUGGACGCGGGUUCGCGCCUGGACUCGGCGAGUCCAAGGUAUGGACUCGGCGAGACCGCGCUGUUUAAUGAAACCCUAAUUUCAAGGGUUUGGGACCUAUUUAAAGGGCCUUAAGGCUGUCAUUUGUGCUCACCAGUCCCUUGAGUGAAACCCUAGCGAGUGUGAGCGUUUGGAGCAAAGUAGGAAGCCAUUAUUGAUCUUGGAGGUGUCAUCUUGCAAGGGAAAGGAAGAAUUAGUUAAGGGAAAUCAAGAGGAGCCACUUCCUGAAGGUUUGAGGUCCAGAACAUCACAUUUGAGGUACUAUCUUCGAGCUAUUCUCUAUUAUGUUGAUGUUUAUUUUGAUUUAGGGCUUAUUGAGCCCUUUCGUCGCUAGAUCUAGUGCUUCCUUGGUCCCUUAAGCGAUUUAGAUUAUAGAUCUGGACCCUUGGAGGUCCAGAGUGUCCCUUUGCCCAAGCUUUUCGUGAAUCUAUGGGGGGUUUUGGAUUGGAAUCCUUAUGCCUAAGGUCAAAUCACCAUUUAUGAGUCAUGGGGUGUGUUAUGAACACCAAGAUAAGGACUUUACGUGAUGAAUAAGCUUAAGAAG